Molecule: ribosomal RNA, 103 nt
Filed under: Bacillus halotolerans
Lineage: Bacteria; Bacillati; Bacillota; Bacilli; Caryophanales; Bacillaceae
Source: RNAcentral
AAGAAGAGGUCACACCCGUUCCCAUGCCGAACACGGAAGUUAAGCUCUUCAGCGCCGAUGGUAGUCGGGGGUUUCCCCCUGUGAGAGUAGGACAUCGCCAGGC